AGAGUUUGAUUCUGGCUCAGGAUGAACGCUGGCGGCGUGCCUAACACAUGCAAGUCGAACGGAGAUGUUGUGUGAGCGGAGAGUGCUUGCACUUAACAAUCUUUCAACAUCUUAGUGGCGGACGGGUGAGUAACGCGUGGGUAACCUGCCUCAUACAGGGGGAUAACACUUAGAAAUAGGUGCUAAUACCGCAUAAGCGCACAGUAUCGCAUGAUACAGUGUGAAAAACUCCGGUGGUAUGAGAUGGACCCGCGUCUGAUUAGCUAGUUGGUGGGGUAACGGCCCACCAGGGCGACGAUCAGUAGCCGGCCUGAGAGGGUGAACGGCCACAUUGGGACUGAGACACGGCCCAAACUCCUACGGGAGGCAGCAGUGGGGAAUAUUGCACAAUGGGGGAAACCCUGAUGCAGCAACGCCGCGUGAAGGAAGAAGGUCUUCGGAUUGUAAACUUCUGUUUUUAGUGAAGAAACAAAUGACGGUAGCUAAAGAGGAAGCCACGGCUAACUACGUGCCAGCAGCCGCGGUAAUACGUAGGUGGCAAGCGUUGUCCGGAUUUACUGGGUGUAAAGGGUGCGCAGGCGGGACUGCAAGUUGGAUGUGAAAUACCGGAGCUCAACUCCGGAACUGCAUCCAAAACUGUAGUUCUUGAGUGGAGUAGAGGUAAGCGGAAUUCCGAGUGUAGCGGUGAAAUGCAUAGAUAUUCGGAGGAACACCAGUGGCGAAGGCGGCUUACUGGGCUCUAACUGACGCUGAGGCACGAAAGUGUGGGUAGCAAACAGGAUUAGAUACCCUGGUAGUCCACACUGUAAACGAUGAAUACUAGGUGUGGGGGGACUGACCCCUUCCGUGCCGGAGUUAACACAAUAAGUAUUCCACCUGGGGAGUACGACCGCAAGGUUGAAACUCAAAGGAAUUGACGGGGGCCCGCACAAGCAGUGGAGUAUGUUGUUUAAUUCGAAGCAACGCGAAGAACCUUACCAUGUCUUGACAUCGAGGUAAAGCGCUAGAGAUAGCGUGUCUCUUCGGAGGACCGAAGACAGGUGGUGCAUGGUUGUCGUCAGCUCGUGUCGUGAGAUGUUGGGUUAAGUCCCGCAACGAGCGCAACCCCUAUGGUCAGUUACUAACGCGUAAUGGCGAGGACUCUGACAAGACUGCCGGGGACAACUCGGAGGAAGGUGGGGACGACGUCAAAUCAUCAUGCCCCUUAUGACCUGGGCUACACACGUGCUACAAUGGUCGUUACAGAGAGAGGCGAGACCGCAAGGUUAAGCGGAUCUCAAAAAAGCGAUCCCAGUUCGGAUUGUGGGCUGCAACCCGCCCACAUGAAGUCGGAGUUGCUAGUAAUCGCGGAUCAGCAUGCCGCGGUGAAUACAAUCCCGGGCCUUGUACUCACCGCCCGUCA
This 1402-nucleotide ribosomal RNA is filed under the name uncultured bacterium. RNAcentral describes it as "bacterial SSU rRNA". It matches the Rfam family "Bacterial small subunit ribosomal RNA". The record is from RNAcentral.